RNAcentral lists this ribosomal RNA (253 nucleotides) under uncultured bacterium. Its description in RNAcentral is "partial 16S ribosomal RNA". It matches the Rfam family "Bacterial small subunit ribosomal RNA", at positions 524 to 776 of the family's 1533-position model. The record is from RNAcentral.
UACGUAGGGUGCAAGCGUUGUCCGGAAUUAUUGGGCGUAAAGAGCUCGUAGGCGGUCUGUCGCGUCUGCUGUGAAAUCUCAGGGCUUAACCCUGAGCUUGCAGUGGGUACGGGCAGACUAGAGUGCGGUAGGGGAGACUGGAAUUCCUGGUGUAGCGGUGAAAUGCGCAGAUAUCAGGAGGAACACCGGUGGUGUAGACGGCUCUCUGGACCGCAACUGACGCUGAGACACGAAAGCGUGGGUAGCAAACAGG